UUGUGCUGACGUGUCUCGCUUACACAAAAAGUGGAGCAAAAAGUCGCACAUGUAUGCUUACAAGACGACGAAAAAUCAAACAACACAUACAUACAUUCAUUCUUCAAAGAGAACUCAGUCGAGAGAUAAACAACUAGAGAUGUCGGAAGUGAACGACGCGUCGAUUAAGUUUUUCGGAAGCACAAUUCAAUCUAGUUACAUUCUCAGUCAAACUGAUGAACAACAACGGAGGUCUUACAAAGGCAUCAAGGCGUUUCGAUCAGAAGGUGAUGAGAUUGCACUUGGCAAGAAAGCUAUGGUCAAUUUGCGAGCGAACCCUGCAGCCAUGUCAAGAUCAGUUAACUUCCAUGAGACCUCGUAACGUUGUACAACAUUCCAUGUUGAGAAGUUGAUUUUCAUACGAAUCAAUCAAGCAUGUGGGCAUCAAACUGUUAUCUAAAAAAUAGACUAAUAGAUUUUCAUUGAAGUUACUUAGAACGAAUAGUCUUGAAAGGUAUCAAGAUCAAGUGUAAAUGCCUAAUGGUGAUGUGAGCUACUAUUAUAUUGAGAAUUUAUAAUGCUUACUACUGUAUAUUUCAUAA
Lactuca sativa (garden lettuce) is the source of this 581-nucleotide long non-coding RNA. RefSeq lists it as uncharacterized. NCBI's taxonomy places the organism in Eukaryota, Viridiplantae, Streptophyta, Magnoliopsida, Asterales, Asteraceae. The record is from RefSeq and is a predicted model, not a curated record.